GACGAACGCUGGCGGCGUGCUUAACACAUGCAAGUCGAACGGAAAGGCCCUGCUUUUGUGGGGUGCUCGAGUGGCGAACGGGUGAGUAACACGUGAGUAACCUGCCCUUGACUUUGGGAUAACUUCAGGAAACUGGGGCUAAUACCGGAUAGGAGCUCUUGCUCCAUGUGGGGGGUUGGAAAGUUUCGGCGGUUGGGGAUGGACUCGCGGGUUACCAGCUUGUUGGUGGGGUAGUGGCUUACCAAGGCUUUGACGGGUAGCCGGCCUGAGAGGGUGACCGGCCACAUUGGGACUGAGAUACGGACCAGUCUCGUACGGGAGGCAGCAGGGGGGAAUAUUGCACAAUGGGCGGAAGCCUGAUGCAGCAACGCCGCGUGCGGGAUGACGGCCUUCGGGUUGUAAACCGCUUUCGCCUGUGACGAAGCGUGAGUGACGGUAAUGGGUAAAGAAGCACCGGCUAACUACGUG
This 468-nucleotide ribosomal RNA is filed under the name uncultured bacterium. RNAcentral describes it as "partial 16S ribosomal RNA". It matches the Rfam family "Bacterial small subunit ribosomal RNA", at positions 28 to 507 of the family's 1533-position model. The record is from RNAcentral.